This 1275-nucleotide unclassified non-coding RNA is filed under the name Hevea brasiliensis (rubber tree). Lineage: Eukaryota; Viridiplantae; Streptophyta; Magnoliopsida; Malpighiales; Euphorbiaceae. The record is from RNAcentral.
UCUACUUCUACCGCCCGCGGCCUGAGAUUAGCUCGGGGUUCAUGGAUGCGAGAGCUAUGAUGGAGGCGCUGUCGAAGGCGCUGGUGCCAUUUUAUCCGAUGGCGGGGAGGUUGGCGAGGGACGAAGAUGGGAGGAUAGAGAUUGACUGUAGUGGUCAGGGGGUGUUGUUCGUGGUGGCCGAUACGGACUCGAAAAUUGAUGAUUUUGGGGAUUUUGCUCCGACGAUGGAGCUGAAGCAGCUGAUUCCGAGGGUGGACUAUACUGAUGAUAUCUCAUCCUUCCCACUACUUGUCCUCCAGGUUACCUACUUCAAGUGCGGUGGCUCUUCCCUCGGUGUUGGCAUGCAGCACCACGCCGCUGACGGCGCUUCUGGCCUCCAUUUCAUCAACUCCUGGUCUGACAUCUGCCGUGGCCUUGGCGUUGCUGUCCCGCCCUUCAUCGACCGGUCCCUCCUCCGCGCCCGUGACCCUCCCACCCCCUCCUUCCCUCACGUCGAGUACCAGCCCGCUCCCCCAAUGAAGUCCACCGCUGCUACCAUCAUCUCCCACCCGCAACCGCGCUCUGUCAAGUCCGCUUUCGCCAAUGGCGGCUCAGACACAGCCGUCAACAUAUUCAAAAUCACACGCGAUCACCUCAACAUCCUCAAAUCCCGCGCACCCUCAGACAGCAAGUUCAGCAGCUACACUCUGCUGAGCUCCCAUGUCUGGCGCUGUGCCUGUAUUGCACGCGGCCUUCCCGAUGACCAGCCAACUAAGCUCUACAUCGCCACAGAUGGACGCCAGCGACUCCGCCCACAGCUCCCACCAGGCUACUUCGGAAAUGUCAUAUUCACUGCAACCCCAAUGGCAUCUGCGGGGGAGCUGAGUGGCGAAAAUGGUGUGCAGGUGGGAGCUGCGCGGAUAACCGCAGCAAUUGCGCCUAUGGAUGACUCAUACCUCCGGUCUGCACUGGACUACCUGGAGCUGCAGCCUGAUUUAGCGGCACUGGUCAGGGGUGCUCACACUUUCAGGUGUCCUAACAUCGGGAUAACAAGCUGGGCAAGGCUGCCGAUACAUGACGCUGACUUUGGAUGGGGGCGACCAAUCUUCAUGGGACCUGGAGGGAUUGCUUAUGAGGGACUGGCUUUUGUGCUGCCGAGCGCUACCGGAGAUGGGAGUCUGUCACUUGCUAUUUCUCUGCAGCCUGAUCAUAUGAUGCGAUUUCAGAAGUUGCUCUAUGAUAUGUAGUUGUUUGGGCAUUGACAAUGGGAAGGAAAUAAGGGAUGGGAGUUGGGAG